CACCUUGUAAACCCCAACAUGUUAAUUUUCUCUUCAGAAAAUUUGGAGAGCCAUGAGGACUGACAUCUGGGGGCUGAAAUAACACUUGGAGAUCAGGUUUCCAGUGUGAUCAGGGCUCCAGGCUUAAAGAUUGUUCUGAUCUUCAUUCGUGGUCAUGAGCAGGACCCGGGGAGGGGCUGAUCUCUUGACUGCAGUUGGCUUGUCACACGCUGGUCUUCUCUAUAAAAAUCUUAGCCCCAGCUCCUGAUGGUGGAACGCUGCUGACCACUUCCAGUUUGGCACUGCUGGAUUUGAAUCCAUU
Equus quagga is the source of this 301-nucleotide long non-coding RNA. RefSeq lists it as uncharacterized. The transcript is spliced from 3 exons. Lineage: Eukaryota; Metazoa; Chordata; Mammalia; Perissodactyla; Equidae. The record is from RefSeq and is a predicted model, not a curated record.